GACGGGUGAGUAACGCGUGGGUAACCUGCCUUAUACUGGGGGAUAACAGCCAGAAAUGACUGCUAAUACCGCAUAAGCGCACAGAACCGCAUGGUCGGUGUGAAAAACUCCGGUGGUAUAAGAUGGACCCGCGUUGGAUUAGCUGGUUGGCAGGGCAGCGGCCUACCAAGGCGACGAUCAGUAGCCGACCUGAGAGGGUGACCGGCCACAUUGGGACUGAGACACGGUCCAAACUCCUACGGGAGGCAGCAUG
Molecule: ribosomal RNA, 253 nt
Filed under: uncultured bacterium
Lineage: Bacteria
Description: partial 16S ribosomal RNA
Rfam family: Bacterial small subunit ribosomal RNA
Source: RNAcentral